This 85-nucleotide transfer RNA is filed under the name Bacteroidetes bacterium HGW-Bacteroidetes-9. RNAcentral's name for it is "tRNA-Tyr". It matches the Rfam family "tRNA". From Rfam's summary of the family: Transfer RNA (tRNA) molecules are approximately 80 nucleotides in length. Their secondary structure includes four short double-helical elements and three loops (D, anti-codon, and T loops). Further hydrogen bonds mediate the characteristic L-shaped molecular structure. tRNAs have two regions of fundamental functional importance: the anti-codon, which is responsible for specific mRNA codon recognition, and the 3' end, to which the tRNAs corresponding amino acid is attached (by aminoacyl-tRNA synthetases). tRNAs cope with the degeneracy of the genetic code in two manners: having more than one tRNA (with a specific anti-codon) for a particular amino acid; and 'wobble' base-pairing, i.e. permitting non-standard base-pairing at the 3rd anti-codon position. The record is from RNAcentral. Lineage: Bacteria; Pseudomonadati; Bacteroidota.
GGGGAGAUUCCAGAGCGGUUAAAUGGGGCAGACUGUAAAUCUGUUGGCGCAGCCUUCGGAGGUUCGAAUCCUCCUCUCCCCACAA